This 254-nucleotide unclassified non-coding RNA is filed under the name Hevea brasiliensis (rubber tree). The record is from RNAcentral. Lineage: Eukaryota; Viridiplantae; Streptophyta; Magnoliopsida; Malpighiales; Euphorbiaceae.
GCACUUCAAGCAGCACUGGACACAGCAAGUUUCUUCAAGUGAUCCAUAAACACUUGUAAACUAACAUCAUCUGUAAGAAUAGGUGCUCCAGACUCCUGCCCCCAGGCAUACAUAUUAUUAUGAGUCUGUGAAGGGUUGACUUUUGAAAGGAGGAAACGGGCCUGGCUGCCUCCAUGUUCAGUGUCAAUGUAUCUUGGCAUUGGAAAUCUGGAGUGAAGAAUUUCCUGUGCAUCAUCCACUGGGGCUUGCAGAAG